CGUUAACACCGAAGUUAAGCAACGUCGAGCUUGGUCAGUACCUAGAUGAGUGACCGCUUGGGAAUACCAAGUGCUGUAAG
This is a non-coding RNA of Acanthosepion pharaonis, 80 nucleotides long. Lineage: Eukaryota; Metazoa; Mollusca; Cephalopoda; Sepiida; Sepiidae. The record is from the annotation of a GenBank genome assembly.